CCCAUAGUGUGAGAAGGCUUAGGACAGUUACAGAAGCCAUGUGCAGGUGUUCUGGCUCCAGCAAAGGUCUCAUCUGACAACAUCAACUACAUGUUAGUGGGGUUUGUCUUGGUUCAUUUUAUGCUGCUGUAACAGAACACCAGAGACUGAGAAAUUUAUAAGGAAUAGAAGUUUAUUUGCCUCAUGGUUCUGGAGGCUGGGAAGUCCAAGAUCAAGGGGCUGCAUAGAUUGAAGUCCUUUUUGCUGACUCAUAACAUGGAAAGAGAGUGCACUGCAUAGAAGAAAGGAGGCCAAACUCAUUCUUUUAUCAUGAGCCUACUCCUGAAAUAACUCACUCUCAAGAUAAUGGCAUUAACCCAUUCAUGAAGGCAGAACACUCAUGAUGUAAUCACCUCUUAAAGGUCCUAUUUCCUAACACUGUUGCAUUGGGGAUUAAGCUUUCAACACAUGAAUAUUGGGGGACACAUUCAAACCAUAGCAAGGGUUCUUUGUCUGUGUGACUCGGUGUGGUUCAGCAAAUUGCGAUUGGUCUGCUAUAGUGGACUUUCCCCUCACCUCCCAAAUGUUUAUUAUGAAAAAUUUCAAUUUAAAGAAAGGUGGAAGGAAUUGUUGAAA
This 615-nucleotide long non-coding RNA is filed under the name Pongo abelii (Sumatran orangutan). RNAcentral's name for it is "lincRNA". Lineage: Eukaryota; Metazoa; Chordata; Mammalia; Primates; Hominidae. The record is from RNAcentral.